Molecule: ribosomal RNA, 730 nt
Filed under: uncultured bacterium
Lineage: Bacteria
Description: bacterial SSU rRNA
Rfam family: Bacterial small subunit ribosomal RNA
Source: RNAcentral
AACAGGAUUAGAUACCCUGGUAGUCCAUGCCGUAAACGAUGUCUACUAGCCGUUGGGGCCUUUGAGGCUUUAGUGGCGCAGCUAACGCGAUAAGUAGACCGCCUGGGGAGUACGGUCGCAAGACUAAAACUCAAAUGAAUUGACGGGGGCCCGCACAAGCGGUGGAGCAUGUGGUUUAAUUCGAUGCAACGCGAAGAACCUUACCUGGCCUUGACAUACUAGAAACUUUCCAGAGAUGGAUUGGUGCCUUCGGGAAUCUAGAUACAGGUGCUGCAUGGCUGUCGUCAGCUCGUGUCGUGAGAUGUUGGGUUAAGUCCCGCAACGAGCGCAACCCUUUUCCUUACUUGCCAGCAUUUCGGAUGGGAACUUUAAGGAUACUGCCAGUGACAAACUGGAGGAAGGCGGGGACGACGUCAAGUCAUCAUGGCCCUUACGGCCAGGGCUACACACGUGCUACAAUGGUCGGUACAAAGGGUUGCUACACAGCGAUGUGAUGCUAAUCUCAAAAAGCCGAUCGUAGUCCGGAUUGGAGUCUGCAACUCGACCCCAUGAAGUCGGAAUCGCUAGUAAUCGCGGAUCAGAAUGCCGCGGUGAAUACGUUCCCGGGCCUUGUACACACCGCCCGUCACACCAUGGGAGUUUGUUGCACCAGAAGUAGGUAGUCUAACCGCAAGGAGGACGCUUACCACGGUGUGGCCGAUGACUGGGGUGAAGUCGUAACAAGGUAACC